This 251-nucleotide ribosomal RNA is filed under the name uncultured bacterium. Its description in RNAcentral is "partial 16S ribosomal RNA". It matches the Rfam family "Bacterial small subunit ribosomal RNA", at positions 524 to 775 of the family's 1533-position model. The record is from RNAcentral.
UACGUAGGUGGCGAGCGUUAUCCGGAAUUAUUGGGCGUAAAGGGUGCGCAGGCGGCAAGAAAAGCUUAAGGUGAAAGCGUGGGGCUCAACCCCAUAAAGCCUUAGGAACUAGCUUGCUAGAGUGCAGGAGAGGGCGAUGGAAUUCCAUGUGUAGCGGUAAAAUGCGUAGAUAUAUGGAGGAACACCAGUGGCGAAGGCGGUCGCCUGGCCUGUAACUGACGCUGAGGCACGAAAGCGUGGGGAGCAAAUAG